Molecule: ribosomal RNA, 441 nt
Filed under: uncultured bacterium
Lineage: Bacteria
Description: partial 16S ribosomal RNA
Rfam family: Bacterial small subunit ribosomal RNA
Source: RNAcentral
CCUACGGGAGGCAGCAGUGGGGAAUAUUGCACAAUGGGGGGAACCCUGAUGCAGCGACGCCGCGUGAGUGAAGAAGUAUUUCGGUAUGUAAAGCUCUAUCAGCAGGAACGAGACAAGACGGUACCUGACUAAGAAGCCCCGGCUAACUACGUGCCAGCAGCCGCGGUAAUACGUAGGAGGCAAGCGUUAUCCGGAAUGACUGGGCGUAAAGGGUGCGUAGGUGGUUUGACAAGUUAGUAGCGCAACUCCGGAGCUCAACUUCGGAACUACUACUAAAACUGUUGGACUUGAGUGCAGGAGGGGCAAUCGGAAUUCCUAGUGUAGCGGUGGAAUGCGUAGAUAUUAGGAGGAACACCAGUGGCGAAGGCGGAUUGCUAGACUGUAACUGACACUGAGGCACGAAAGCGUGGGGAGCAAACAGGAUUAGAUACCCUAGUAGUC